GAUGAACGCUGGCGGCGUGCCUAAUACAUGCAAGUCGAGCGAACAGACGAGGAGCUUGCUCCUCUGACGUUAGCGGCGGACGGGUGAGUAACACGUGGAUAACCUACCUAUAAGACUGGGAUAACUUCGGGAAACCGGAGCUAAUACCGGAUAAUAUAUUGAACCGCAUGGUUCAAUAGUGAAAGACGGUUUUGCUGUCACUUAUAGAUGGAUCCGCGCCGCAUUAGCUAGUUGGUAAGGUAACGGCUUACCAAGGCAACGAUGCGUAGCCGACCUGAGAGGGUGAUCGGCCACACUGGAACUGAGACACGGUCCAGACUCCUACGGGAGGCAGCAGUGGGGAAUCUUCCGCAAUGGGCGAAAGCCUGACGGAGCAACGCCGCGUGAGUGAUGACGGUCCUCGGACCGUAAAACUCUGUUAUUAGGGAAGAACAAAUGUGUAAGUAACUAUGCACGUCUUGACGGUACCUAAUCAGAAAGCCACGGCUAACUACGUG
This 497-nucleotide ribosomal RNA is filed under the name uncultured bacterium. RNAcentral's name for it is "partial 16S ribosomal RNA". It matches the Rfam family "Bacterial small subunit ribosomal RNA", at positions 28 to 507 of the family's 1533-position model. The record is from RNAcentral.